UAUAGGGGGAUGUUAAUCAUAAUUGAGUGUCACUUAAAUAUGUAAAUUAAUCUCUGUUGUUUUGUUUUUUGUAGCUCUUGGAAAAAGAUCCAGAUUAUCGCCUCGGAUCUGGUGAGGCUGGUGCUGAAGUGAUCAAAGCGCAGCCCUUCUUCAGAGAUAUUGACUGGGAACAACUAUUACAUAGAAAAACAAAGCCUCCAUAUGUGUUCAACAACCAAGGCCAUCUGAAGAGCUUCAAUAGCCCUGAAUGCCAAGCUCCAGCAUUGACAACACCUGCUGUAAAGAUCCCAUCAGAGCUGCAAGAAGCAUUUAGAGAAUUCGAUUAUACACCUGACUGAACUUCAAAUAAUGAUGAGAGAUGGAGCAGCAACAGUCAAAGGGAAUCUUAUUUAGAGAGGAAUAUCAUGGAUCAUAUUUCAUACUUAACGUGCUUGUUGAAUUCAC
Molecule: long non-coding RNA, 444 nt
Organism: Xenopus laevis (African clawed frog)
Lineage: Eukaryota; Metazoa; Chordata; Amphibia; Anura; Pipidae
Exons: 3
Source: RefSeq, a predicted model, not a curated record